UUCACUUCUGGGAUUGUCUGGCUAAAUUCACAAGAGCAAGAAGAGUUCACAGAAUCAUGCAGGUGAACCUCAGAAACUUCAAGCAUGCCAUUCAGAUAAGCUUGGUCACGUGUGGAUCCUUAUCUGAAGAUUAUCAAGUCAUUGUCUGGAUGUAACUAUUUGCUAAAAUACGGAAUAAAACUGCAAAAGAGAUAGAGAAAAGACAGAACAAAAUGUAAGCUCCCACUG
Molecule: long non-coding RNA, 228 nt
Filed under: Anser brachyrhynchus (Pink-footed goose)
Lineage: Eukaryota; Metazoa; Chordata; Aves; Anseriformes; Anatidae
Description: lncRNA (ENSABRG00000005559.1)
Source: RNAcentral